RNAcentral lists this long non-coding RNA (3786 nucleotides) under Schizosaccharomyces pombe (fission yeast). Lineage: Eukaryota; Fungi; Ascomycota; Schizosaccharomycetes; Schizosaccharomycetales; Schizosaccharomycetaceae. The record is from RNAcentral.
GCAUUAUUUUACAACGUAAUACACUAACUAACAAUGUAAUACAGUACGUUCGCUUUCGCAAAGUAAUACACCGUUUUGUUAUCACCUCGUAGUUUUUAUUUGCCCAUCUUGCAAGGAACGAAUUGCUGCGCUGCUUUAAAAUGCAUAGUGCAAUACCUUAUAACGUGCUGUAUAACCUUAUGCAUCGUUUAUCUAUCAGUGGAAAAGCUCUUUCGUACUUUGCAUUUAACGUGGAAACCUACAAACUCGUUCCUACUUAUUCCAUACUACGCCAAACUACACUGUACCCCCGUUGUUCGCUAAUCCUAGGAUCAAGCCUAAAGCUAGUGGUAUUUGUUUGGCAAUGCGCACAGGGGACGCGCUUUGUUGAAUUGGCAAAUGGAGCGCAGAAAAAAAGUUGCAGUUGUCUUUUUCCCGUGAAUUCUUUUUCUUCUUGUGAUUUGUCUUUUUUCUUUUCUUCUCUUCUCGUGAAUUCUUCUUUUUCUUUUCUUUUCUUCUUUUUCUACAUUUUCCUAUUCAUCUAUCCAAAACUCUGAUUUCUUUCUUGACCGUUUCAAUUAGCAUUACAAAAUGAUCGACUUUAAUUAGAAAUACAAAUUGAGUGAUUUCAACUCUACCUAAUCGACUUUAACAAACACUCCAACAAAAAACUCUACCAGCAUUUCCACGCUUGUGCAUUCACCAAACUGACGACCUCUCUUACAACACGUAAAAACGACGCUCGAUUUGCCUUUCUUCGUCUUUGCUAAAUCCAGCAUGCCCUAAUCAGUCAUACUUUCGGAUGCAUCGCCGGGCACUACGCCUUCUUCAUCCUUUGGAUUUGCUCCCACAAAUGACUUGACAAAUCAUGACUCUCCCUCCAGUUGUCUCGUGCCUCUGGUGAAAACAUAAACGACGGCCUCGAAAAUUGCGUCGGCUUUUGUAACAUUGAUCCUGCCAGCGAACGCCGUGUCCCAUACGAACUUGGCUUUGUCGACACAGAAUGAAUACCACUCGAUACCAUCCCAGCGUUACCACUUUCGUCCAUUGCUGUCGUUGCUGUCGCCCUUGUCGUCACCCUCCCUAUCGCUCCACUCUCGGGAACUUUUAAAUCAAUAUCCAUCGCUUCUUCAUUCGUCUCAUGCUGCUUCUCCAACUCUAACAAUACUUGCUGCAAUCGUGUACUCAAUCGAUCCUUCUCAUUCCUUAAACUCGUAAUCUCCACCUCCUUUUGCGAUAUCGUAGACUCUUUCUCAUACACCUGUUCUUUCAUUUCUGCAUUCUGAAUUUGCAAAUCAUUGAUCUCUCGAAACAACCGUUCUCGCUCCAAUGCAUCUUCCGCUUCCUGAACUUGUCGAAUGGCUUUUUCUUCUCUCAACAAAUCCAGCUCCACUUUUUCCGACAUUGUAAUCGUAACCAAAUUGUCCUGCUUUUCUCCUCCACUUUUCAUAGACUGUUGCUGUGGGUAUUCUUUGAGCGCCGACGCUGCUUUCAUCGUUGAUCCCGGUAACUUCUUCGUGGAAAGUCGACUAGUCUCUAACUUUUUCGAAAUCGAAGGGGAUGACGGAAACGAUUGUUUUGACGACGCCGCAUUCGAAACUCCCUUUGAAGAGGAUGAUGGCGCUUUCAAUGUAGAACUUGCAAAUCUAUUCACCAACGAUUGACUACGCAAAGACGUCGUCGAUGGUUUCGUAGGCGAAGAUCGUGUAGAUAGAGAUUCUUCUGUCAAACUCGCCUGUGAUGGAUUCGAGGAUGGUAAUGGUGAAGGUGCUUGUGGUGUAACAGCCAGUUUAACCGGUGAUGUCUUUAAAGGAGAGGCCACUCGUGGCAGCCUGGGACGUGAGGGUUGAUUCGGAUGCGCAUUCACCGUAAUGUCCUUGGAAAGUUCUAAUAUUUUUGGUAACUUUUUAGGAUCCAAUCCCACAAUAUACUUGGACAACACUGGCUGACUAAAAAUUUGCACAAGUGUUGCCAAUACAUUUGUGGUAGCCAUUCGGACUGGCUCAAACGUAUCGUUGAUCAAUGUCACACAUAGGCUACAUAGCGUUUCAAGCGAUGCUCGAGGCGGACAAACAUCCGUCAAUUGUAGGCAACGAUUCAGCCAUCGAAGUGUCUCAGUUUUUACUUGUGGAUUUUUAUGCUUCAAAAAUUCUAACGUCUCAUCCAUUAUAUCAUUCAACCCACAGCUCUCAAAAAUAGCAUUGGCCGCAUCCAGCAAAGAGUGCACCAAACUCGAUUUUCUCUCUUUAAACCUAUCAAAUAAAGAAGGCAAUACAAUACCAGUAUACGGAAGAAAGCCCUUCCUUAGCGCCUUGGCAAUAUGCGUCAAUAAUAAAGCCGCUACACCCACUACCACCACGUUUGCAUCUUUUAGAGACUUUGCAAUCACUCGAAGUAACUCACUAUAGUCACCCUCUUGAUAAACAGGAUUGGAACACACCGGUACCAUGCUUUCCAACGCUUCCUUUCGAUCUUUCCACUUGGGAGAAGAUAAUGCGGUAUGGAAUUCUGGGGUUAGUUUGGAAAGAACAUCAACGGGCGUACUUCCGACAAUGUUUUUGGCAGGAGAUACAAUGGAACGGGAAGGAGAUGCUGAAAAAUCAGAAGGUUGUGAGACCUUUCGGUUAGGAGUACUGAAACUAGAAGUAGAGCGUUGCAGAGUGUUUCCCUGCGAAGAUGACUUUGAGGACAAAUGUGGUUUGGGUUUGGCAUUCGAUGAAAAAGAAGGAAGAACCACCUCUUGGGUGUUGAGGGAAUUUGAAAUAUGUCCUCCCGUGGUCGUGCGAGAUGUAACAUUUUGAAAAGAGGCCUCAAGAUCGGAGACCUGUAUUUGCUUUAGUUGAGGAAACACAUGAGUCUUGAAUGCAUUACCAACCCAAGCGUACAAGGUUAUGGAUAGAUUCGAAGCUUCUUGCCUGAUAUUCUUAUCUGAUUGGGCGAACAAAGUAGGAAUCAGUUUAUAGAAUGGAAUAGGAGAAAGUGCAGGGAUUCCAAAAUUCUCCAAUAAACUAUUUAAUUCUUUUAUAGAAGCAACUGCCUGCUUGGGAUGCUUAACGCGAGCCGCCGAAAAUAACCCUUCUAAUACAUAGUCCAGCGCAUCGGAUUUAGCUAAAAUGAGUAAAGCCUGGUGAGAAGCAUCACGGAUAGAUUGUCUAGGAGAUGGUAAACAUUUUUCGAGUAGAGGAGCAACAACGAACGAUUUGGCAGAAUUAACUCCUUUUUGCCUAGACUUGUCUAAAAAGCAUCGCAGAGAUUUUACGGCAUGCUCUUGUGUUGGUACGUUACUAUCACACAGCCCUUGUUUCCAUAAUGCUGGGUCAUGAAUCCAAGGCUGGAAACAAACGUCUGAAUCAUCCAAUGCUCGGUUCAAUGCAUGCAACAAAGACUCAUAUGCUUCAAAUCGAACUUUCCAAGACUAAAUAAAUCAGUUAGAAACCUAAAAACUUAAAAUAACCCACUACAGAAGUGAGAUCCAUCAAUACUAGGGAGAACAGGUAUGAAAAGAGUAGUGACGGAAACACAAAGCAAUGAGUAAAACUAAUUGAAAUCGUAAAAUACAAUGGAAUUGAUCAACAGUGCCCUUAAUGCCGUUGCAACGAUAUUUCCAUUUGUUUGCUUUUCAUUCCAGUUACAUUUUUCUGGACAGCAAGCUUCUAUCUCCAUUAAUUUGUAAAAAGCUUACCUUAUCAAAAAUUUGACUGAGAAUGCGGCUAUUAAAAUCGUCCAACUCCAUUUACAUAAACAAAUAUAAAUUAACGACUCGUAUGUUUACAACCAGCAGAGCAUGAAUAGUUAUGUAAAAGAAUG